This is a long non-coding RNA of Frankliniella occidentalis (western flower thrips), 413 nucleotides long. RefSeq lists it as uncharacterized. The record is from RefSeq and is a predicted model, not a curated record. The transcript has 2 exons. NCBI's taxonomy places the organism in Eukaryota, Metazoa, Arthropoda, Insecta, Thysanoptera, Thripidae.
AUGUCAAUUUCUUCACUGAGUUGAGGGGAAAAUCGGUAAAAUGGAACACCAAUCAUAGAGCACCAUGACCGAGCUCUGUCUACUACUCUUCCUGAACUUUGAGUGGCCUGCAAUUUUUCAACCAUAAUUUUAAGAAAAAUAAAAAUAAAUUCAGUAAAAAUGGGAAAUAACUGAUGUUACAUACAUCAGUAACUGGAAUAUCUCCUGUUCCAAGAGAAACAACUAAUGUUGCUGGAGCAACCUCAUAUUCUGGAUCCAUCGUUUUCAUGGCUAAAUUGUAUUCAUGAAUUUCUGUUAAGCAGUCAAGAGUAGGGUUGUUUGAAAUAAGCCCUCCAUCUAGGAACCGGCCAAAUGCACUGUAAAAAUAUUGUUUUCAAUUAAUUUAUCAAAAAUAAACUGGAGAGACAAUGUAA